RNAcentral lists this long non-coding RNA (903 nucleotides) under Gallus gallus (chicken). RNAcentral describes it as "long non-coding RNA NONGGAT002822". The record is from RNAcentral. Lineage: Eukaryota; Metazoa; Chordata; Aves; Galliformes; Phasianidae.
UUAUUCAACACCGAAGAGAUAACUUGGGCAUCCCAUUGUAACCAAAGAACCUGAGCGGUGAGGAUCUGUACCCAGGAUACUUAUCAGACUGAUGAACAAUCUAAAGAGGACUAAAGAUGAACAAACUAAAGAGGAAAUGCAUGCACAGUGCAACGUCACCCAGACAUCAGUGGAAACAGCAUGUACCACACCUUCACCACAGAGCAGGAAACGUUCCAGCCACUCUACCUUCUGAUGACUUGUGACUUCGUCCCUGCUUCUGCCCAGCUCCUCGGCAAGUUUCACGUUCUCCUCUUGCAAAGCUGCAAGCUGCUGGGACUUCUGAGCAGCUGCCAGCUUCAGCGCUUCGCUGCGAGGACAGAGAGUGCAUUGUUACCAUAGGAACGAGGGAGGCAAGAAAAAACUGUGGGAGAGAAUCAGCUUCACAGCUUGGAAAAAUACAUCUAGGUCACGUGUCUGCUGGGACUGAUAAUAAAGGUGACGAGCCGUACCUUGCUGCACACGGAUAGGUUUAACCCUGAAAAGAGGCAGCAGCACAAACCGACCGCUUCCUUCUCCUUUAAAUGCAUCAGACACUCAAGGAAAUGCAGGGAAAAUUCAGUCUGCUCGUUCUGCACAUUUCCAGUGGUUGUCAAGCACUUGGAUUUGGGAACAUCCCUCACAGGGGCUGCUGGUGAGCUGCACAGCCCAGACAUGCUCAGAAACGAACGCGGCUGAGCGCUCUGCAGUUAAAGCGUGAGAACUGUUUUUAAAAUCGAAAGCAGCUCAGGGUCUGUCAGCACUCCCUGCAGGUCUGCCACCCAAACUACCGACUGUGUGUGAGGUGUGCGGUCAGCUGCUCCGUUCUUGUUAUUCUGCAGGUACGAAACCAAACAACAAAGCAAAAGCUGAAGCGUAUUUGCA